GGGGGAGAAGGCCAGAAAUCGAGCAGAAUCAAAGCCUGACCCUGCCCUUGGUAAGGGUGGGGUCGGGUGUUCAAUUCACCCCGGCGGCACCA
This 92-nucleotide transfer RNA is filed under the name Roseospira goensis. Its description in RNAcentral is "tRNA-Thr". Lineage: Bacteria; Pseudomonadati; Pseudomonadota; Alphaproteobacteria; Rhodospirillales; Rhodospirillaceae. The record is from RNAcentral.